GUCUAUGCAUUUGGGAAUUGGAAAACCUCAGUUUGAGCCCUGGCUCUGCCCUUUAUUACUUCUGUGACUUCAAUAAAAUGACUUAUUUUCACUUUCCUUAUCCUUCAACUAGGGGUAAAAAUGGUGCCUCCCUGGUAGCCUGACUGGGAGCAAUUGACCACAUAACCCAGGUACAAAUCUAAGCACAGGGCCUUGACCACAGUAAACAUUAAAAGUUAGUGAUGUGUUGAGCAUUGUUAUUAGUAAUGGCAUUUUUUACUCAUUUUGCUCUAGGGUCAGGAGAUUCAAGACCAGGUGGCAUCUUCUGCAGAGGACACCACUUUCCAAAGACAUGGCUUGGUUCUUCAUAGAUGAUAGGAGAGUUAAGUUCAAUCUCUCUCCCCUACUGCAACUACCUUGAGUAAAGUCUUCCUGCCAUUUCUCUUGGAUGGUACCCACCUCGGGAGCUUGUUUCUUCUUCCCCUGCCUCCGCUCCAGCCACUCCAGCACACAGGUGAGAAGAGACUAGAGAGAGCUCCACCAUGUGAAGAUGUAGUGAGAAGGUGUCACCAGGAAAUGGGUUCAGCAGACAACGGAAUCUGUCAGAGCCUUAAUUUUGGAUUUCCUAGGCUUCAAAAAUGUGAUAAAUGAAUGUUUGUUGUUUAUAAGCUACCCACUUUGUGGUAUUUUGUCAUAGGCCCAAAUGGAUUAAGAUAAGGGCUUUGGACCAGAGAAAUAUGCCUGUGCAAAGGCCCUGUGACAAGCGGGAGGCAUGGCACUAACAACAGAAGGCAAGGGUGACUAGAGUACCAGAGGCAAAGAGGCAAUGGUACAGAGGUGGCCAGAGGCCAGGCCAUCCAGGAACUUGGUAGCCACAGGUUCUGCUCAGACUGGGAAGGGAAAGGGAGCAAAGGAAAACAAUAAAGGAAUUCAAAAAAAGGGGAGGGAGUGGCAUGGUCAGGCUUCCCUUUUUUGCUCUAGUAAACUUCUAUUGAAGGAAAUUAUAUAUACAAAAAUGUGCCAGAAUCACAAAUGAAGACAUCUAUGUAACCAGUACCCCAGAAUCUUCCAUACAGCCCCUGGUAGUUAUUACCACCCUCCAAGGGUAAACAUCAUCUUAUCAUCCAAUUUCUUUUUUUUUUUUUUUGAGACAGAGUCUCGCUCUGUCACCCAGGCUAGAGUCGGCUUACUGCAACCUCCGUCCCCCAGGUUCAAGCGAUUCUCCUGCCUCAGCCUCCUGAGUAGCUGGGAUUACAGGCGCACUGUAAUUUUUGUAUUUUUAGUAGAGACGGGGUUUCACCAUGUUGGCCAGGCUGGUCUUGAACUCCUGACCUCGUGAUCCACCUGUCUCGGCCUCACAAAGUGCUGGGAUUACAGGCGUGAGCCACCGUGUCCGGCCUUAUUAUCCAAUAUCAAACUUUUUCUUCCUGUUAUUGAGUUAAAUAUAAACCAAAUAAUAUGCAUGUGAUAUUUUACAUCUGGAUUUAUUAAUUUUGCAAUAUAUUUGUAAGAUUUUAGAAAUAAUGAAUUAUUUUGUCUUUGUUUAUAUGGUAAUGUCUUUAUUUUACCUUCAUUCUUGAAGAAAGAUUUUCUGGAUAAUGGAACUCUUGGUUAACAGUUUUUUCAUUUGAUUGCUUUUUGCCCUCUAUUGUUUUAUAUGGGAAGCCAGCUGUUAACUGCAUUUUUGCCUCUUGUAGUAAUAAGUCAUUUUUCUCUUGCUUGUUUUUCUAUUUCUUUCUGUCUUCUGACUGCUUGCCUAUGAUUUGUCUAGGUGUGGAUCUCUACAUAUUUAUCCUACUUGAGGUUUAUUGAACAUUUUGGAUGUGUAUUUAAUUUUUUUUUAAGUCAAAUUCUGAAAGUUUUUGGCCACUGGUUUUUCCAUAUGUUUUCUGCUCCUUCCUUUUUAUUUUCUACUUCUGGUUUUCUCAUUAUACAUCUGUUGGCUUGAUGUUGUCCCACUGGCCCCUAUGGUUCUGUUCCUUUUACUUCAAACAUUUUUUUUCUCUGUCUUCCUCAGAUAGAUACUUUCUAUCACUCUAUCUUCGAGUUCAUUGAUCUCUUCCUCUGCCAUAUAUAAUCUGUUGUAAUAGAUCUUCACAGUAAAAUUGUAAUUUAUGCUUUUCAACACCAGAAUUUCCAUUUCUUUCUUUAUAAUUUCUAUCUCCUUAUUUAGAAUCUUUCUCUGUUGAUUGUUUAUUAUCAUAAUUUUAUUUACAAAUUUAAACAGUUCUUUGAGCAUAUUUAGAGUAGCUAUUUGAAAUCUUUGCUAAAUACAGAAUCUAGGAAAACUCAGAGACAAGUUCUACUAUCUGCUAUUUUCCUCAGUAUAUGUCACACUUUCCUGUUUCUUUGCAUAUCUUGUAAUUUUCUGUUGAAAACUGGGCAUUGAAAAUAUUGCAAUGGAUAUGUUAAUUGAUAUGUCAUGAAUAUGUUAAUUAUCUUGAUGUAGCUGUUCCAUAAUGUAUCAUUAUGUUGUACACCACUAAUAUAUACAGUUUUAUUUGCCAAUUAAAAAAAUUACAGCAACU
RNAcentral lists this long non-coding RNA (2507 nucleotides) under Homo sapiens (human). RNAcentral's name for it is "HSALNT0230676". Lineage: Eukaryota; Metazoa; Chordata; Mammalia; Primates; Hominidae. The record is from RNAcentral.